AGGACUCACAGAAAAAACAAAAAGACUCCACUCAUUACUAACCCAUUAUCCUCUCUACUCACGUCUCUCUCUCUUUCCACUCCCUCUCACUCACCUUCACCCCACUCAUAACUAACCCAUUAACUCUCUCAUCUCUAUCUCUGAGUAAAGAAAAAAUGAGAAUAAAGAAAAAGAAAAAAGAAAACCACAACAUUACAUCACCCUCUACAGCCACCGUGAUUUCAUCUUCUCCUCUUCCC
Molecule: long non-coding RNA, 239 nt
Filed under: Lathyrus oleraceus (garden pea)
Lineage: Eukaryota; Viridiplantae; Streptophyta; Magnoliopsida; Fabales; Fabaceae
Description: Pisum sativum (pea) long non-coding RNA (PSAT_LNC038508)
Source: RNAcentral